This is a long non-coding RNA of Brassica napus (rape), 3386 nucleotides long. RefSeq lists it as uncharacterized. The transcript has 2 exons. The record is from RefSeq and is a predicted model, not a curated record. Lineage: Eukaryota; Viridiplantae; Streptophyta; Magnoliopsida; Brassicales; Brassicaceae.
UUCUGACAGCUUCUACGAAAUCCUCUAGCACCGAGCGGAACCCCUGCGAGGCUACAUAGCCCGCUUCAAUCAAGAAAAGGUGGUUAUCCCCAAAUGCAGCAUCCCCACUGCUAUCUCUGUUUUCAAGAGAGGUCUGCUCCCCGACGGAGACCUCUACAAGAAACUGACCAAAUACAAGUGCAAAACUAAGCGGAUUGUCAUUCCGAGUUAUUUUCUGAAAGUUGUGUUUGUUUUCGCGAGAGGUAUUGCUGUAGUCUUUGUAUGCGACCAGCCUGGAGGUGAAGCCAUUUUGGUUGAUCAAAUGGUGGCCGAUCGUAGUAAAACCGGUGGCUAUGGACAAAGAACAUAUAGUACUGCAUUCUGACCGGAGGGAUCGAAUGUUUAACGGUCAGUUCUUGAAUUAUUCAUCUGUUUUCUCAAGGCUUCAGGUCUGCCGAAAUCCUCAUAUUUGUCUAUUUUCAGAAAGUUCAGGAGUUGUUAUUUUAGAGCCGUUAAAGUCCAUUCGGUGUGUUCUCAGGUUUUCUGAAGAACCCGUGGCAAAGGUAAGGGUCUUUUCCCGAAUUUCUCUUACACGGCUUAGGACUUCGAAUAAGUAUAAUUUAUUUCUAAUAUGUUCCGUCUGCGUGAAAUCUAGUCUGUCAUUGCUUGUUUAGUUUUUAGGUUCUUUGCUUAAACCGGAAUUAGGGUGUUAGAGGAUUCAACAAUGAUUGUUUCAUUUAAAAUUGGUAAAUAAAAAUAGUUGUAUUAUUAAGAGUUAUGUGAUUGUUUGAGACGGAUACAGAGACGGACUUUUGUAUGCCGGAUUGUGUGGAGGUUACGGUCAGCUAUAGUCGAACGGUUAACGCGUAACCCAGGAGGUCGAUAAAUCGUCUACGGGCGUGUGUUACCGAGCACUUGUUCGGUGUGUGUAUGAACCGAGCACCUUUUCGGUGGUGUUUUUGGCCUGUUAGUGGACAGCGAAUGUGCACCUCGCUAGGACUAUUGUUUGAUCUCUGGAUACUUUAGGUACCGUGUUUGCAACGUGUUAGGAUUAAAUUAUAUUUAUUCGGAGUGCUCUGUCCGGGUCCAUGAAUUUCGGGUUUAGUAUCCCAUACCUCACUGAGUGACUUCCCCGUUACUCAUCCCUCUUUCUUUCCCAUUUCAGAUGAGACAGACGAGUAUAUGAUAUUUGGACGGAUUGGUACUACUGGAUUUUUUAUUCGGAUUUGUAUUUGAGCUUAGAGUGAGUUGAAUCGUGUAUAUGGACUAUUGUGUUAUGAGACAUUGUUGGUCGCACGCUGUUCUCCAGAUAGGAGGUGACGGGUGUCACAGAUACCUUUGCUUGCUCUUGAAUACGAACCUCCUAGGACUAAUUCAUUCAAAACGGUGGAAGCCUCGUUGAGAAUUGAUGGAGUAGCUAGUGCUGGUUUCAAGAUUUCGCGGUCAAAGCUAGUUAAUCUGAUUAGGUAAAUUAGCUUUCUUUUCUUUUUGAUCUUCCAUUGCAUUCUCAUGUUUGCUGAGAAAAAAAAAAUCAUUCUUCUUUGUUGUUACCUCGCAGUAGUGGGGACAUUCGGGUUAACUGGGCAACGGUUACCAAGAACGGAACCAUGGUAAAGACUGGUGAUGUUGUCUCUGUUACCGGGAAAGGGAGACUCAAGGUAAGACUGUAAGAGGGAAAAUGGCCUAUUCUUCUAUGAACUAAUUGUUCCCGGCUUUUUCACACACGGAUUUUUAAGUCAUGCCAAAAACCACAUGAACAACAGAAAAGUGGUUUAUUCCCCUAUGAACUAGUUUUUCCUGGUUUUUCACACACGAACUUUUAAAUCAUGCCAAAAAACACAUGAACAACUCUAUUUUUGAAUAACAUACACAAACUAUCGAUUUUUAAACUAAUUCCUCUAAAACUGUAAAUGGUGUUAUUUAAAUGUUAACUAGUUUGUGAUAGGUGGAGAGCCGGUUUAAUUUGGAUUAAUAAAAAAAUUACUAUGUAGUUUUAUCUUUUUUUCUCUUUUUUUUUUGUCAACUGUUCUUCUUUUUCAGAAAUAGUUUUACUUUUCGUCAUCAAUUGGAGAUAAAAUUUAUAAUUUUGCAGAAGAAUAAAAUGUUUUACAUGAUGCAUAAAAAAAGAAAAGCAGUCCACUAGGAACUAUAAAAUCGGUGCAGUAUCCCCAACUGAUGAUGAAGAGUAAAACAAUUUCUGAAAAAAAAGCAAUUGACAAAAAAAAUAAAGAAUAAAACGACAGUAUUUUUUUAUCAAUCCAAAUCAAACAGGCUUUCCAUAUGUCAUAAACCAAAUUGAUUGUGUUAUUACUAAAAUGACUCAUAUUUUUUGAAAAUUAUUAGAAUAUUUUUUGGUCGAAAUUGCCCCUGCCCAUAGUUAUAACAAAAAAAAUUAUUACAAAAAUACCCUUACAUCUGAUCGACGGCAGAGUUUUUUUUUUUUUUCAAAAAAAUAAAUCUAUCGAAUAAUAAGUCUGUUUAUAAAAUCUGUAUGAAAAAAUAAAUCUACCAUUAAAGUGGUGACAGACUUUUUUAAAAACGUCAGAUUUGUUUACACGGCAGAGUUAAUUGUCCGAUUUAAAUAGAAAAUAUAUUUUUAUGAAUAUAUCUGUCAAAUGAGGUAGCAGAUUUGUUAUGAAUGGUAGGUUUUUGUGGUCAACUUAUUUUCUUAUGUUCGACUUAUUUUUUUUACGGCAGAGUUAUAUAUAUGAUCUAAAAUUGUUGGUAGAUUUUUUGCUUAUAUGGUUGUAGACUUUUUGAUUUAUGUUGUGGAAGAUUUAUUGACGAAAAUUUGGGUUUAUGUAAAUCAGAUUUAAUUUAAUAUCUAAUUUUGAUCCGGUUUACAUUAAUUUCAAAUCUUGUUUAUUUUUAGAUUAAUUAAUAUCAGAAUUAGGUAAUUUUUGGUACUUGUCAUCAUCUUUUUUAUCUUUCUUUUCUUCUUCGUCAAGUUAUUCUCUUUCGUGGUGGUUUAAUCACUUCUAUAGAGAUAAUGAAUUUGUUUAGAGAUGCUCAAAGCAAAAAUAAGUUUAAGCUACUAAAGCUAAUUAAAAAUAGUAUACUUAGCACCACGAACUGUCAAGCAAUGCAGACAGUUCAUUAUAUAAUAUUAGUUAAUUUCAUAGUAAUCAGUCAAUAUUCAGUAGCAUGUAAAUGUGAUAAUCGAUCAUUGAUUUCGACAAGAAAAUAAACGAAACAACUCGGCUACAUGAAUGUUACAUGUUGAGAAACAGAUGACAUAACUAAAAGAAACAAGAACAGAUUAUCAUCUAAACGAGUUUCCGCAUUCCUCAUACAAGUAUACAUUCUCUGGCUUAGCUCUUCGCACGUCAGCUCGUGAUUAUUUAUGUUUCCCAUUUGAAGAUGCAAACUGUAGACGAGCCUUUCUCCAUGAGACCUAGAAGAUGAAA